AGGUUGAUUGGAUGUACUAUUUGGCAUUUGGUGCUGUUGUCACCGGCAUUGUUAUCUACUCUAUAAGUUACGGAGAUGAGGAUCAGCACCCUCCUAAUGCUGUUGAAGAACCUACCGCCAUCAGACGGGACGAGGAAACGGGUUCAGCAAGAUUUAGCAAAGGAUCUGUGGCUGGAAGCUCAAAAAGCUAGGUAGCGUCAAGAAAGUUUAGACCUAGAGUUCCAUCCAAAGGAAAAACCAUGAGGAAGACCCUCUUUCAGAAGUGGGCUGUUCUAAAUUUGUUUCCAAUGCUCCUCCAUGAGUACUCGUUUUGCUUGUAUAUUCUUUGUCAGCACACUCUUUAUAGUUGAAAUUUAUGUUGGUCUCAUUAUUUUAGGAAUAAGAUUCACCAAAUAUAAAAUGGGAUUCAAAUAAUUUAGUUAGUGAGACUCACAUAGAUUUCAUGAAUAAUAGAGUGUGUUAUUAGACUGUGUUUAUUUAGUUAGAUGUUGCUCUUGUUUGCA
This is a long non-coding RNA of Trifolium pratense (red clover), 503 nucleotides long. RefSeq lists it as uncharacterized. The transcript has 2 exons. The record is from RefSeq and is a predicted model, not a curated record. Lineage: Eukaryota; Viridiplantae; Streptophyta; Magnoliopsida; Fabales; Fabaceae.